This 882-nucleotide ribosomal RNA is filed under the name 'Phoenix dactylifera' phytoplasma. RNAcentral's name for it is "bacterial SSU rRNA". It matches the Rfam family "Bacterial small subunit ribosomal RNA", at positions 366 to 1254 of the family's 1533-position model. The record is from RNAcentral. Lineage: Bacteria; Bacillati; Mycoplasmatota; Mollicutes; Acholeplasmatales; Acholeplasmataceae.
CGGCAAUGGAGGAAACUCUGACCGAGCAACGCCGCGUGUAUGACGAAGUACUUCGGUAUGUAAAGUUCUUUUAUCAAGGAAGAAAAGCAAAUGGCGAACCAUUUGUUUGCCGGUACUUGAUGAAUAAGCCCCGGCUAAUUAUGUGCCAGCAGCCGCGGUAAGACAUAAGGGGCAAGUGUUAUCCGGAAUUAUUGGGCGUAAAGGGUGCGUAGGCGGUCUAGUAAGUCAGUGGUGUAAUGGCAACGCUUAACGUUGUCCGGCUAUUGAAACUGCUAAACUUGAGUUAGAUAGAGGCGAGUGGAAUUCCAUGUGUAGCGGUAAAAUGCGUAAAUAUAUGGAGGAACACCAGAGGCGUAGGCGGCUCGCUGGGUCUUAACUGACGCUGAGGCACGAAAGCGUGGGGAGCAAACAGGAUUAGAUACCCUGGUAGUCCACGCCGUAAACGAUGAGUACUAAGUGUCGGGUUAAACCGGUACUGAAGUUAACACAUUAAGUACUCCGCCUGAGUAGUACGUACGCAAGUAUGAAACUUAAAGGAAUUGACGGGACUCCGCACAAGCGGUGGAUCAUGUUGUUUAAUUCGAAGAUACCCGAAAAACCUUACCAGGUCUUGACAUGUUUUUGCAAAAUGAUAGUAAUAUCGUGGAGGUUACCAGAAACACAGGUGGUGCAUGGUUGUCGUCAGCUCGUGUCGUGAGAUGUUAGGUUAAGUCCUAAAACGAGCGAAACCCUUAUCGUUAGUUGCCAGUACGUUAUGGUGGGGACUUUAACGAGACUGCCAAUGAUAAAUUGGAGGAAGGUGAGGAUCACGUCAAAUCAGCAUGCCCCUUAUGACCUGGGCUACAAACGUGAUACAAUGGCUGUUACAAAGAGUUAGCUGAA